Molecule: ribosomal RNA, 869 nt
Filed under: uncultured archaeon
Lineage: Archaea
Description: bacterial SSU rRNA
Rfam family: Archaeal small subunit ribosomal RNA
Source: RNAcentral
CUCCGGUGAUCCCUGCCGGACCUGACUGCUAUCGGAUUGGUACUAAGCCAUGCGAGUCGUUGUAGCAAUACAAGGCGGACGGCUCAGUAACACGUAGUCAACCUAACCUAUGGACGUGGAUAACCUCGGGAAACUGAGAAUAAACCGCGAUAGAUCAUUAUGCCUGGAAUGGCUUAUGGUUCAAACAAUUUAUUGCCGUAGGAUGGGACUGCGGCCUAUCAGCUUGUUGGUGAGGUAAUGGCCCACCAAGGCUAUAACAGGUACGGGCUCUGAGAGGAGAAGCCCGGAGAUGGGUACUGAGACACGGACCCAGGCCCUAUGGGGCGCAGCAGGCGAGAAACCUUAGCAAUGUGCGAAAGCACGACUAGGUUAAUCCGAGUGAUUUCUGUUGAAGAAAUCUUUUGUCAGUCGUAAAACCACAGACGAAUAAGGGGUGGGCAAGUCUGGUGUCAGCCGCCGCGGUAAUACCAGCACCUCGAGUGGUCAGGAGGUUUAUUGGGCCUAAAGCAUCCGUAGCCGGCUACGCAAGUCUCCGGUUAAAUCCAGCUGCUCAACAGAUGGGCUGCCGGAGAUACUACAUAGCUAGGGAGCGGGAGAGGUAGACGGUAUUCUGUGGGUAGGGGUAAAAUCCACUGAUCCAUAGAGGACCACCAGUGGCGAAGGCGGUCUACCAGAACGCGUUCGACGGUGAGGGAUGAAAGCUGGGGGAGCAAACCGGAUUAGAUACCCGGGUAGUCCCAGCUGUAAACGAUGCAAACUCGGUGAUGCAUUGGCUUAUGGCCAAUGCAGUGCCGCAGGGAAGCCGUUAAGUCUGCCGCCUGGGGAGUACGGUCGCAAGACUGAAACUUAAAGGAUUUGGCGGGGGAGCA